AAGUCGUAACAAGGUCUCCGUAGGUGAACCUGCGGAGGGAUCAUUAACACGGGAAAGAAAGGGCGGAUGCCGAUCAAAAGGCGGAAGCCCCCAAUUCCGAUCGACAACCAACCGCGUGAACUCAACCCCAAAAAGCCAAAACCAACACCGCUGUCUGUCAGCUGUGUUGUGUUUGUGGUUUUUCUGUGUUUUUUUACCCAAACCUUUUCCAACCGCCUUUUUUUUCUUUUUUUUCUCUUUGUUUUCACAGUGUGGGCUUUGUGCUCAUCGUCUGUGUCAACAAUGACAAAAAUGCAAAUGAAAAGCACAACUCUUAGCAACGGAUAUCUUGGUUCUC
This 337-nucleotide unclassified non-coding RNA is filed under the name fungal sp. RNAcentral describes it as "partial internal transcribed spacer region". The stretch from base 1 to 46 matches the Rfam family "Eukaryotic small subunit ribosomal RNA", at positions 1786 to 1831 of the family's 1831-position model. The record is from RNAcentral. Lineage: Eukaryota; Fungi.